UCACUGUCACUGGUGUUCGGGUUGUCAUGCCAAUGGCACUGCCCGGUAGCUAAAUGCGGAAGAGAUAAGUGCUGAAAGCAUCUAAGCACGAAACUUGCCCCGAGAUGAGUUCUCCCUGAGACUUUAGGUCUCCUGAAGGAACGUUGAAGACGACGACGUUGAUAGGCCGGGUGUGUAAGCGCAGCGAUGCGUUGAGCUAACCGGUACUAAUGAACCGUGAGGCUUAACCUU
This 231-nucleotide ribosomal RNA is filed under the name Salmonella enterica. RNAcentral's name for it is "partial 23S ribosomal RNA". It matches the Rfam family "Bacterial large subunit ribosomal RNA", at positions 2698 to 2925 of the family's 2925-position model. The record is from RNAcentral. Lineage: Bacteria; Pseudomonadati; Pseudomonadota; Gammaproteobacteria; Enterobacterales; Enterobacteriaceae.